CCUACGGGUGACUGCAGUGGGGAAUAUUGGACAAUGGGCGAAAGCCUGAUCCAGCCAUGCCGCGUGUGUGAAGAAGGCCUUCGGGUUGUAAAGCACUUUCAGUGGGGAAGAAAGCCUUGGGGCUAAUACCCUCGAGGAAGGACAUCACCCACAGAAGAAGCACCGGCUAACUCCGUGCCAGCAGCCGCGGUAAUACGGAGGGUGCGAGCGUUAAUCGGAAUUACUGGGCGUAAAGCGCGCGUAGGCGGUCUGAUAAGCCGGUUGUGAAAGCCCCGGGCUCAACCUGGGAACGGCAUCCGGAACUGUCAGGCUAGAGUGCAGGAGAGGAAGGUAGAAUUCCCGGUGUAGCGGUGAAAUGCGUAGAGAUCGGGAGGAAUACCAGUGGCGAAGGCGGCCUUCUGGACUGACACUGACGCUGAGGUACGAAAGCGUGGGUAGCAAACAGGAUUAGAUACCCGUGUAGUC
RNAcentral lists this ribosomal RNA (465 nucleotides) under Vreelandella stevensii. RNAcentral describes it as "partial 16S ribosomal RNA". It matches the Rfam family "Bacterial small subunit ribosomal RNA", at positions 338 to 795 of the family's 1533-position model. Lineage: Bacteria; Pseudomonadati; Pseudomonadota; Gammaproteobacteria; Oceanospirillales; Halomonadaceae. The record is from RNAcentral.